GUGCCCGUCCACCGAACGGUCGGCAGGCGAUCCGCGUCGGUCGCGCUGGGUGGUAUGGUUCCCCAGAGGCCGGUUCUUGUGCUGCCUACCCCUUCAGGGGAAGAGUUCCAAACUCGAUGUAAGCCUCCAUCCGGCGCCCUCCAAAGGGCGCGGGAGGACAACGGAGCACCCCCCGCGUUCCACCGAGCCUCCACGGUCGCGUGGCCCGCGGGGACGUGCGAUGCUCUCGGACCCAGCGAACGCCGUGGGCGAGGACUCACGUCCCGGUCCCAAGUGAAGCAACGGUAUAACGCACGACGGCCGCUCCCGCCCCCCGACCGCCCCGGCGGCGCGGGGGCGAAGGCGCGGCGUCGCUGAGGAAUGCU
Molecule: unclassified non-coding RNA, 365 nt
Filed under: Acacia cangaiensis
Lineage: Eukaryota; Viridiplantae; Streptophyta; Magnoliopsida; Fabales; Fabaceae
Description: partial external transcribed spacer
Source: RNAcentral